GGAUAAAUUAAUAUAAAUAAAUUAAAUAUAUUUACACUAUUUUGUCUACUCCAUUUCUAUUUCUACUUUUGCCUUAUUACUAUCAAUCCUAUGUAGGAACACUUUUCCUUUUGUCUUUGCAAAGCAAAGGAAAAGUAGUAUGCUCCUCUCCCUCCCUAAAGGAGGGUCCUAGGGCUAAAUAUAACUGCAAAGGUGUAUAUUAAAUAUGGAAAAACAAAAAAAGUAAAAUAACUUAUUUAUAAAUAACUAUCACUCAAUCCAGUCUUAAAAAAAAAAAAAGAAAAAACAAUAUAAUAAAAAUAAAAAUAAUAAUACAAAUUACUAUUUAUAUAAAUAAAUACUUUCUCCUUAUUAUUUAAAUAGAGGGAUUGGCUAUGCAAGAACUGGUA
Molecule: ribosomal RNA, 389 nt
Filed under: Hebeloma hiemale
Lineage: Eukaryota; Fungi; Basidiomycota; Agaricomycetes; Agaricales; Hymenogastraceae
Description: partial small subunit ribosomal RNA
Source: RNAcentral